Long non-coding RNA from Orcinus orca (killer whale), 2619 nucleotides. RefSeq lists it as uncharacterized. The record is from RefSeq and is a predicted model, not a curated record. NCBI's taxonomy places the organism in Eukaryota, Metazoa, Chordata, Mammalia, Artiodactyla, Delphinidae. The transcript is spliced from 3 exons.
UUUGCUCUUUUAUAGUUGCGGAACAAGAAUCAUAACAACUGUAAAAGGAACAGACUACUCAGAUUCUCUAUGACCAUCACAGUCUCCUCCCUGGAGGUGGGUCUACACAGGAAGCCAAAUCAGAACCAGAAGUUUCCCCAACAUGCACAGAAUCAGAAGGGAGGUUGAGGAUCCGGCUCUUCAAUGCAAUCAUACAAAGCCAGGCUCACACAUCACCUCACUGGCAGCCAAACCAGGAAAUGCCAAACCUGGCCGAGGUUCCCUGCCCACUGCCAGUAUUUGGCUCUGUCCUUUUCUCUUCCCCAAGCUCGCAAGGCUUCUCAAACUCCUCUUCUGAUUAAUGUGUGAACAUGGGCAUGUCCUGACAGGUAUUCUGAAAAAUAUUGCACAACUUUUUCAAUGUAUAUGUCAAAAGCAACCUGUCUACAAGAAGAAUGGUAAAAGAGGUGUUGUCAUACUCAGAAAAUAUUAUAAUCUGCACUGUUCAUAUAUACAAUACUAACAUUUAUAUAUGUUAUAAUAUAUGUUAUAAACUUAUAACUAUAAACUAAUGCCAUGAAAUACAACGGAUGGAAGAAUUUGUUACCAAGGGAUGAGUAGAGCGAACUGAAAUGACUUUAAGAUUUGAAGGAGUGUUUAUUCAAGGUCUUGGACUUUAUACUCUGGGGAGCUGAAAGUUUCUUCCAAAGGAAUCGUAGACACCCAUGGUCCAAAGCUGCACAAAAUACCUGAUUUAAAAAAAAAAAAGAGUGCUGAUAUCCCAGAGGAGCUCCCUGUGUCUCUGCUGGCACCAACAUGAAAUCCAAUAGCAAUCUAUUCCUCCAAGCCAUGUGGCUGACAGGGUCUUGGUGCUCCAGCCGGGUGUCAGGCCUGACCCUCGGAGGUGGGAGAGCCGAGUUCAGGACACUGGACCACCAGAGACCUCCUGGCCCCAUGUAAUAUCAAUCAAUGAGAGCUCUCCCAGAGAUCUCCAUCUCAACGCUAAGACCCAGCUCCACCCAACAGCCAGCAAGCUCCAGUGCUGGAUGCCCCAUGCCAAACAACUGGCAAGACAGGAACACAGCCCCACCCAUUAGCAGAGAGGCUGCCUAAAAUCAUACUAAGUUCACAGACACACCAAAACACACCACUGGAAACAGCCCUGCCCACCAGGAAGACAAGGUCCAGCCCCACGCACCAGAACACAGGCACCUGUUCCCUCCACCAGGAAGCCUACACAAGCCACUGAACCAACCUUACCCACUGAGGGCAGACACCAAAAACAACGGGAGCUACGAACUGCAGCCUGUGAAAAGGAGACCCCAAACACAGUAAGUUACGCAAAAUAAGAAGACAGAGAAAUAAGCAGCAGACAAAGGAUCAAAGUACAAACCCACCAGACCAAACAAAUGAAGAAGAAAUAGGCAGUCUACCUGAAAAAGAAUUCAGAGUAAUGAUAGUAAAGAUGAUGCAAAAUCUUGGAAAUAGGAUGGAGAAAAUACAAGAAACUUUUAAAAAGACCUAGAAGAGCUAAAGAGCAAACAAAGAUGAACACCACAAUAAAAUGCAACUUAAAAUUCUCUAGAAGGAACCAAUAACAGAAUAACUGAGGCAGAAGAAUGGAUAAGUGACCUGGAAGAUAAAAUAGUGGAAAUAACUACCACAGAGCAGAAUAAAGAAAAAAUAAUGAAAAGAAUUGAGGACAGUCUCAGAGACCUCUGGAAUAACAUUAAAUGCACCAACAUUGGAAUUAUAGGGGUCCCAGAAGUAGAAGAGAAAAAGAAAGGGUCUGAGAAAAUAUUUGAAGAGAUUAUAGUUGAAAACUUCCCUAACAUGGAAAAGGAAAUAGUCAAUCAAGUCCAGGAAGCACAAAGAGUCCCAUACAGGAUAAAUCCAAGGAGAAACAUGCGAGGACACAUAUUAAUCAAACUGUCAAAAAUUAAAUACAAAGAAAAGAAAUUAAAAGUAGCAAGGGAAAAGCAACAAAUAACAUACAAGGCAAUCCCCAUAGGGUUAACAGCUGAUCUUUCAGCAGAAACUCUGCCAGCCAGAGGGAGUGGCAGGACAUAUUUAAAGUGAUGAAAGGGAAAAACCUACAACCAAGACUACUCUACCCAACAAGGAUCUCAUUCAGAUUCAACGGAGAAAUUAAAACCUUUACAGACAAACAAAAGCUAAGAGAAUUCAGCACCACCAAACCAGCUUUACAACAAAUGCUAAAGGAACUUCUCUAGGCAGGAAACACAACAGAAGGAAAAGACCUACACAAACAAACCCAAAACAAUUAAGAAAAUGGGAAUAGGAACAUACAUAUCGAUAAUUACCUUAAAUGUAAAUGUAUUAAAUGCUCCAACCAAAAGACAUAGACUGGCUGAAUGGAUACAAAAACAAGAUCUGUAUAUAUGCUGUCUACAAGAGACCCACUUCAGACCUAGGGACACGUACAGACUGAAAGUGAGGGGAUGGAAAAAGAUAUUCCAUGCAAAUGGAAACCAAAAGAAAGCUGGAGUAUCAAUACUCAUAUCAGACAAAAUAGACAUUUUUGUUGUUGUUGUUGUUGGGGUAUGGACUUUAACACUGUAUUUUGAAGUCCUGUUAUUAAAUAAAUCACUUUUAGGAUUUUUAAGUAUUUCUGAUAAA